ACGGAGGAUCCGAGCGUUAUCCGGAUUUACUGGGUUUAAAGGGUGCGUAGGCGGAGCAUUAAGCCAGGGGUGAAAAAUUUCGGCUUAACCGGAGUCAUGCCUUUGAUACUGGUGGACUUGAGUACAGUUGACGCGGGUGGAAUGUGAUGUGUAGCGGUGAAAUGCUUAGAUAUGUCGCAGAACGCCGGUCGCGAAGGCAGGUCACGAAAUUAGUACUGACGCUGAUGCACGAAAGCGUGGGGAUCUAACAG
Molecule: ribosomal RNA, 251 nt
Filed under: uncultured prokaryote
Description: partial 16S rRNA
Rfam family: Bacterial small subunit ribosomal RNA
Source: RNAcentral